This 253-nucleotide ribosomal RNA is filed under the name uncultured bacterium. RNAcentral describes it as "partial 16S ribosomal RNA". It matches the Rfam family "Bacterial small subunit ribosomal RNA", at positions 524 to 776 of the family's 1533-position model. The record is from RNAcentral.
GACGGAGGAGGCAAGCGUUAUCCGGAAUUAUUGGGCGUAAAGCGUCCGCAGGUGGCUUUUCAAGUCUGUUGUUAAAACCCAGGGCUUAACUCUGGACCAGCAAUGGAAACUGAGGAGCUAGAGUGCGGUAGGGGCAGAGGGAAUUCCCGGUGUAGCGGUGAAAUGCGUAGAUAUCGGGAAGAACACCAGUGGCGAAAGCGCUCUGCUGGGCCGCAACUGACACUCAUGGACGAAAGCUAGGGGAGCGAAAGGG